This 2288-nucleotide ribosomal RNA is filed under the name Escherichia coli. Its description in RNAcentral is "partial 23S ribosomal RNA". It matches the Rfam family "Bacterial large subunit ribosomal RNA", at positions 364 to 2640 of the family's 2925-position model. Lineage: Bacteria; Pseudomonadati; Pseudomonadota; Gammaproteobacteria; Enterobacterales; Enterobacteriaceae. The record is from RNAcentral.
GUGACAGCCCCGUACACAAAAAUGCACAUAUUGUGAGCUCGAUGAGUAGGGCGGGACACGUGGUAUCCUGUCUGAAUAUGGGGGGACCAUCCUCCAAGGCUAAAUACUCCUGACUGACCGAUAGUGAACCAGUACCGUGAGGGAAAGGCGAAAAGAACCCCGGCGAGGGGAGUGAAAAAGAACCUGAAACCGUGUACGUACAAGCAGUGGGAGCACGCUUAGGCGUGUGACUGCGUACCUUUUGUAUAAUGGGUCAGCGACUUAUAUUCUGUAGCAAGGUUAACCGAAUAGGGGAGCCGAAGGGAAACCGAGUCUUAACUGGGCGUUAAGUUGCAGGGUAUAGACCCGAAACCCGGUGAUCUAGCCAUGGGCAGGUUGAAGGUUGGGUAACACUAACUGGAGGACCGAACCGACUAAUGUUGAAAAAUUAGCGGAUGACUUGUGGCUGGGGGUGAAAGGCCAAUCAAACCGGGAGAUAGCUGGUUCUCCCCGAAAGCUAUUUAGGUAGCGCCUCGUGAAUUCAUCUCCGGGGGUAGAGCACUGUUUCGGCAAGGGGGUCAUCCCGACUUACCAACCCGAUGCAAACUGCGAAUACCGGAGAAUGUUAUCACGGGAGACACACGGCGGGUGCUAACGUCCGUCGUGAAGAGGGAAACAACCCAGACCGCCAGCUAAGGUCCCAAAGUCAUGGUUAAGUGGGAAACGAUGUGGGAAGGCCCAGACAGCCAGGAUGUUGGCUUAGAAGCAGCCAUCAUUUAAAGAAAGCGUAAUAGCUCACUGGUCGAGUCGGCCUGCGCGGAAGAUGUAACGGGGCUAAACCAUGCACCGAAGCUGCGGCAGCGACGCUUAUGCGUUGUUGGGUAGGGGAGCGUUCUGUAAGCCUGCGAAGGUGUGCUGUGAGGCAUGCUGGAGGUAUCAGAAGUGCGAAUGCUGACAUAAGUAACGAUAAAGCGGGUGAAAAGCCCGCUCGCCGGAAGACCAAGGGUUCCUGUCCAACGUUAAUCGGGGCAGGGUGAGUCGACCCCUAAGGCGAGGCCGAAAGGCGUAGUCGAUGGGAAACAGGUUAAUAUUCCUGUACUUGGUGUUACUGCGAAGGGGGGACGGAGAAGGCUAUGUUGGCCGGGCGACGGUUGUCCCGGUUUAAGCGUGUAGGCUGGUUUUCCAGGCAAAUCCGGAAAAUCAAGGCUGAGGCGUGAUGACGAGGCACUACGGUGCUGAAGCAACAAAUGCCCUGCUUCCAGGAAAAGCCUCUAAGCAUCAGGUAACAUCAAAUCGUACCCCAAACCGACACAGGUGGUCAGGUAGAGAAUACCAAGGCGCUUGAGAGAACUCGGGUGAAGGAACUAGGCAAAAUGGUGCCGUAACUUCGGGAGAAGGCACGCUGAUAUGUAGGUGAAGUCCCUCGCGGAUGGAGCUGAAAUCAGUCGAAGAUACCAGCUGGCUGCAACUGUUUAUUAAAAACACAGCACUGUGCAAACACGAAAGUGGACGUAUACGGUGUGACGCCUGCCCGGUGCCGGAAGGUUAAUUGAUGGGGUUAGCGCAAGCGAAGCUCUUGAUCGAAGCCCCGGUAAACGGCGGCCGUAACUAUAACGGUCCUAAGGUAGCGAAAUUCCUUGUCGGGUAAGUUCCGACCUGCACGAAUGGCGUAAUGAUGGCCAGGCUGUCUCCACCCGAGACUCAGUGAAAUUGAACUCGCUGUGAAGAUGCAGUGUACCCGCGGCAAGACGGAAAGACCCCGUGAACCUUUACUAUAGCUUGACACUGAACAUUGAGCCUUGAUGUGUAGGAUAGGUGGGAGGCUUUGAAGUGUGGACGCCAGUCUGCAUGGAGCCGACCUUGAAAUACCACCCUUUAAUGUUUGAUGUUCUAACGUGGACCCGUAAUCCGGGUUGCGGACAGUGUCUGGUGGGUAGUUUGACUGGGGCGGUCUCCUCCUAAAGAGUAACGGAGGAGCACGAAGGUUGGCUAAUCCUGGUCGGACAUCAGGAGGUUAGUGCAAUGGCAUAAGCCAGCUUGACUGCGAGCGUGACGGCGCGAGCAGGUGCGAAAGCAGGUCAUAGUGAUCCGGUGGUUCUGAAUGGAAGGGCCAUCGCUCAACGGAUAAAAGGUACUCCGGGGAUAACAGGCUGAUACCGCCCAAGAGUUCAUAUCGACGGCGGUGUUUGGCACCUCGAUGUCGGCUCAUCACAUCCUGGGGCUGAAGUAGGUCCCAAGGGUAUGGCUGUUCGCCAUUUAAAGUGGUACGCGAGCUGGGUUUAGAACGUCGUGAGACAGUUCGGUCCCUA